RNAcentral lists this long non-coding RNA (838 nucleotides) under Agrilus planipennis (emerald ash borer). RNAcentral describes it as "uncharacterized LOC112904248, transcript variant X2". The record is from RNAcentral. Lineage: Eukaryota; Metazoa; Arthropoda; Insecta; Coleoptera; Buprestidae.
CUACCCUCCAUAAUCCCUUUGUACCAAAUUGUAAGUAUAAUUGGUGUAAUCUAUGGGUACAAUUACCAUAGAAAAAAAUGCAACCGGUUGAAAGAAAAACAGUUUAUGAAACAUAUAGGUUUGCAUCAGUUUGCAUUUAAAUUGUUUAGUUCAGAAAUUCAGAAAGUGUAAGUAGCUAAUUGAUAUCUACCCAGCUAGUAAUUUGACUUCAUAUUUUCAAAUGUGGAACGAAGUUAAAUAAAAAUACGAUGGCUUUAUGUGAAAUUAAGGGGAAAGAUAAAAAUUGGGAGCAAGAAAGAAAAGGAUUAUGUUUGCCACAGAAAGGGUCAAGCUUAAAAUUAUUCUAUUUACUCCCCAUGUUGGGCAUGCAUGCAGUUUAAUACAUAUCCAUCUUUCAAAAACUGAAAGACAACAAGUGGCAGGAAAAAUUUAACUGACCUAAAAUUCAACUUUUUUAAUAUAUGACAAACUUACAAUGAUUAAUUAUUAAAAUGUAGAUAGGGUGCCAUACACAAUCAUUUUGAUGGAACAUAUUUGUCUGCAUUGAACCAAUUUAAAUUUUUCCUUUUCAAAUAAAUGUAACUUAUAAACAGUAAUUAAAAGGUCUUUGAUUUUAUGAAAGGUUCGGCCAUAGAAAAUUACUAACUAGAUGACAGUAAAAUAACAAACAUUUUACUAUAUUACUUUUAUUACAUUAAUUAAUUGACUCCAUAGUUACAUAAUUAUUAUGUAUACUACUAAAAUAAAAUCAAAUUACGUUUACAGAAUUAUUUAUCAGCAAGUAAAUUGUGUAAGUUAAGAUUGUAGAAUUCUAUAGAUAAUAUAUCACUGGAUCUAA